This is a long non-coding RNA of Leptopilina boulardi, 395 nucleotides long. RefSeq lists it as uncharacterized. The record is from RefSeq and is a predicted model, not a curated record. The transcript has 3 exons. Lineage: Eukaryota; Metazoa; Arthropoda; Insecta; Hymenoptera; Figitidae.
AUAAAUUUUUUUAAAUCGUGCUUUACAUAUGUUGUGUAAAAUUUUUCUCGAAAUUAGGUUAGAAUUUUCGCGAUUUUCGUUUUUAAUUUUCAAACAUUUUCGAAAUGUCUCGUGUUGAAAUUGACCAUGUGCGCGAUGUUACUGUGUUCAAGUGUUUAAUUUAAAGCAGUGUCAGUGUUAAAUUAAAAAAGUGUUAAUGUGUACAGUUUUUUUUUUGAAGACAACAUCUGGAUUAAAUCAAGAGGAUCAAAAUUGGGGGAGGGUUCAAACAACAAUCAUCGAUAUAAGAACCAUGCACGUGUAUCAUCCUUUCCGAAUAUGAACUAAAUGAGGAUCCUGGCGCUCUCUGGUGAAACUUCAUUCAACAUUUUCUUUGGAUAUUAUAGGUAAGCGAG